GUCAUAUGCGGGUGUGUCACAAAGCGUUUGUUUGCGGUGGCCGAGGACAGGCGGAUCUGGAAAAUGUACUGCGGGCGUUCAGGGAAGUGCAGCUCUCCCCCAGAAAUGGACAGAGGCCGGUUUACCCCGCUGUGACCCAGCACGCACACAGGCAAACUAAGCCCACUGCUCGAAGCUAGGAAAAUGUCAAGCUGUGGAGCAGAGCAGUACCGCUAAGCUUCAGUUACUAACCAGGCCUGCUUUCACUGCUGAUUACUUUGUCAGCAAAAUCGAAAGGUUGCUCAGGGCACCGACAGGAUAUGUGGCUGAGAAAGCACCUUGCUGAGGGUUCUUUAACUCUGAUCUACAGUUAAGGACUUUGCGUUCUGGCUUGUGAGUAUCACAGCGUGCUCGUGGAGCUCUCUUGCCAAACCACAGUUAUUUGCAACAUUUCAUUACUCCAGCAUUUUCAUACUUAGGGGAGAGUUCACAGCUCUCUUUCGGUUCUGCGUGGCUGCUGACCUUUCACUUCAGCAGACCUUUUGGUGGCAUGGUAGCAGAGCUGCCAGUGUGGGUGUACACCCACAGUCGGGUCUGCGGGGAGGUUUAGGUAAAGCAAAUCUGGCUGCGCAGUGUUUCAGUCAAUGAAUGCAAUGAAUUUCCAUUGUUUUCAAUCUCCUACCAAUACUGAACAGGACUUCUUGAACAGAACAUUGCUUCUAAAACAUGCUGCAUUGUGUACUCUUACAUGGUGAGAUGAGAUUUCUGGAUUUUUUUUUUUAAUUUUGAGCUGUUCAUCCACGUACUGGAGUGAGGGUUUGGUUAGAGCCACGUUUAGCAGAGGAUGAUCAUACAAACCUUCACUCAGGUAAGUACCUCACUGAAGUGCUUCCGAAGCUUCUGUUGACUUCAGUGUAAUCAUUUGCAUGACUGUGGAAAGGCACCCGGAGAACUAGUUGGCAUUAUCGAGUGAACCAGUGACAAAACACACCUUUACAUCCAAAGAGACACGAGGUGUCUGACAUUUGAUUUUGAAUUUGUAGUGGAGGAAAACGGCCUAUGCCUGCUAUAGAGAAGCUGUUUGCUGUAGGCAUAUACCCCAGCAUACUAUCCAAAUGCAGCCAUUUGUUUGGGAUCAGGUGAUCCAGGCUGAGCAAGAAAGAGUGCAAGUGGGGGCAUUACUGCACUGCCAGCACUCUACCCCUUGUUGUGACUUCAGGGACAUCCAUGGUUGCUGCUGCAAAUUUAAGUCCUGCGUGACAUGUAGUUUAUGAGAAUGUAUGCAUAAGGGACCUGAGUAGUCUGGUUGACAGUGUAAUGCAUGGCAGACUGCUCACAAACAACUCUAAUGUGUGAGAAUGACCUGAUUCUAAGCAGAAUAUGUCUCUAAAAGUGCAAACUGGACACAGGGAGAUGGAGAGGGAAAGGGCCCAGUCACCGUGAGCUGCCCCAGUCGCAGUGUGCUGCUUACUAAUGAUAUCAAAUGAAGAAUGACAGUUCUAAUGCUUAGGCUCUAGUACUUAUGAACCUUAAUAUCUGGAUUUCUUAGAUUUAUUUCUGUUGUUAAAUUAAUUUCUCAUUCCAUUAUGAUAGUUGAAACCAGCAACUGCAGAAUGCAAUCAUGAGAAGGGUGUGUCUAUUCGAUGCCUUCAAGGUCUCAAAUACAUUAUGUUCUUUUUUCUUUGCAUUUCUAAAGGUUUAUCUUCCCAAAUUUUCAGGAAAAAAAAAAUGCUAACAUUUCUGUAUUGAUUCUUCGCUUGGGUGCAUUGUGAACAUGAGGUGCAUGCUACAUACAGGGGUAAGUGGUAAAAUCAUGGAACUGGUAUCCAUUAGCAAUGGUUAUAUUUGCACUGCAUCCCAAAUACUACAUUUGAUGCCAUCCUUCCAUCAUGCCUCAAGAAUUACUCUGAAGGGACUGCAGCUGGUGGGUAUGACAAUAAAAGUUAAUCUAUUGAUUAAAUAUUAACAAUAAGCUGGCUCAGAUCAUUGCUCCACAUAGCACAAUAUUCUGUCAGUAAUGACAGCUCUAAGCAGAUGCCUAAGGAAGUGUUCCAGUUAUCUAUGCUGCCUCCUCUGCUUCAGCUUCAUGCUUUCCCACUCUGACCAUUUUCAGAGGUGAGAAUUUAAUGAGACACUGAGUUUUUUUUCUAAGAAAUAUUCCACCCUUACAAGAGGUUUUCGAAUGUCUUGAAUUCAUAUAAACUCUUGCAUAAAUAAUAACAUCUUUUGACGUGAGUUCCUCUGAUCUGCUUCCUGUGUAUGAAGAGGGUCUGCUUGCUUGGACUCUGGCUCCCACAAGCUCCACUUUAUGGCCAUCUAUGCUUGUUCUGGAAAAGGCAUUCAACAGCGGAGCUCCCCCUCUCCGUGCCACUCAUGAGUUUGUCAGCCUCUGUCCCAUAUCCGCACCCACCUUGAGUGCAUGAAUGCAAGAACUAAAUAUACUCUCCACCCUCUCCUUUUGGCCAAAGGCAAGACUUUCCCUUUUAUUUCACAACUUCCUUCUUAAAACUUUCAGAUUUUCCUUAAAAACUCCAUUAAGGCUAUAGCAAUCACUCUUUUCUACAUGUUUAUAAGGCAUCACAUCCAAAAAUGGAAUCCAUAUGCUGGCGCUACACACGUUGGCCUAUAUUAUAGAUUUCCUGACAGGAUUUUGCUCUUGGUUGGUGUGUAAGAUGAAUUAUUUCAAAGUUUUGUUCCCGUGUUCAGAUGUUUCCAAACUCUUUUUGGCCUAUCUAGUUAUAUUUUUGCGUUUAUCAAAGUAAAUGUUCCUUUUUGUUAUCUUCUUUUGAAUGUGGUAUAGGUUUUUGCAGUGGUUCGGAUUGCCUCUUUGCUUCAAGUCUGGUAUCCUUCAGCUUUCUCCUAACCACAUGUAUGAGUUUAGUUCUUUUAGCCAUCUUUCCUAAUUUCUUUUUAGAAAGCUUCACGCCAUUCCCUUACUGGAGUCUAGCACAAUGAUAGAGGAUUCUUUGGCCUUCGUUGUUCCUUGUAGGAAUGUUAUUUUUUAUGAAGAGAGGAGUCCCCUCUGAAACUCUGAACCAGGUCUUGUGCAUUGCUCUGCCUCAAGCCAAGGACUGCGUUUCAUCCUGAGGGCUCACUCUGUGAAAAAUAAUUCUCUUUUAAUAAUACCAUCUAGGUGGUAUUAUUAAAACAUCUAGGAAUAAAUAACCUGUCGAUAUGCUGUUGUCAAUGGUACUGUCCUGGCUGAUGGUCUUUCAGGUAGAUACAAUCCCAUAUUCUUCUCAGCUGCGCUUUGAAUUUCAAUCUGUGUAGAUUAUACGUGUCUCUGAGGUGGAUGGUUUCCUACACAUCUGGCUUCUCUGCUAUCUAAUCUUUGGGCUAAAGCAUCAUCUCUUUCUGUUUAUGCUCACUCCUAGCUCCUUCAAACCUAUUGUAAAGGAGCUCAGCAAGGAGUGUACAUCAGAAGAAACAACCACAAGAGGUAAUCUCUCAUCAUGCUAUUUCAACACAGCAGGGGAAAAUAUGGUCUUCCUUGUAUGUUGGGGUAGUCAUUGAUUUCAGUACAUGUUUUAUUUAAACUGAGGUUGAUUUUCAUUCUUUCUACUUGUUCUACAAGUGCAUAUUUCACUCCUUUAUAGAUUUCCCAAAUCCCAAAUGAAUACUUCUCACCUCGUGUUGCAAUUUACUGUCAUUUUUUUUCUUAUGUAAUGCUGAAACUUUGUAUGCGAACAUAAAGAUACCCACUGUGUUUCUCUUUAGAUGCCUGGCUGAAGAUUAGUAUUUUGUGGUCAACCUUUAAGAAAAAUUGGGCUUUCUGAAGUGUCUAGAUUUCUUUGAACUAAUGCCCUUAGGGCAAAUCAAAAAGGCCAGCUGCCCUUUAAAGAUGAACGGGGGAAGGGCUCUUAGUCAAAUUAAUUGAAAGAGAGUUCUGUCUUUGAAGAUAAACUAUUUUUUGAAGGGGAAACUUUGUUUUUAAAACAGGUUAAAACAGAUCUAUCUAGGUAACUCCGUGACAAGUUAGUUCUCAGAAAUGGUCUAGAAAGUCAUUUUUCCUCUUUCACUCUUUCCAGAUGAAGGGUAUUCAGAUCUUCAGGAUACAAUAAUGCCGUACACAGCAAAAGACACUUUCACUUCCUGCAGUUUCGUUUCAUUUAGCUUCUUCCUCUCUGGGUGUUGGGACGCAGUGUAGGAGCCAAACGUGCUUUGAGUCAUCCAUCCACCAAAUCAUGCUUGAUUACACAGGAGUUCAGAGGGGAUUUACUCGAAGCUGUGUGUCAGAAUUUGUGUGAUCAUUGUUUCUAUAUCAGCCCUCAUGGAGAAACCUGGUCUUCCGUCACUUCCAUUAUACCACUUUGAACAGCUUUUCAACAUCACUUGUAACUAGAGCUGAUUUGAUAAUAAAGAAGCAUGUCGGAGGGGAAAUCUCAGUGCUAAAGGACCACAGCUGCUUUAUUAUAGUAACAGGUGGAAAGCUGCUCUGAAGAUCCUGCAUAAUAAAUUCUUUCUGAACAAAGAAACGUCAGAUUUAAUUAUACUGAAGAGUUGUUAAAAUGUUACAAAUACAGAAAAUCUUCAGGGUUUUUUUCUUCCUAAUACCCGUUUCUGACACACUGAGAGCAUUUACUUAUUCUCUGUUUAUUUCACUUCCUGGAGAAGUAGUUAAGUUCCAUGAAGCUCACUGUCAGGAGCUUUUAAAAAUGAAUCAUGUCCUGCAGUUAUUUAGAAGUAUGGCACCACUCCAAAACACAAUCAACUCAUUUGGAGUUUUCAAAUAUUGACAGUCAAGGUACAAUGUUUAGAGUCUCAGGUCUUAUUUCAGUGUUAACUUUGCCUUCAGUGAAGAAAUAUUUUUAUAUUUUAUGACCAUUUGAAAGGGUGCUUUAGCUUUAUCUGGAGAGAUGAAUUCAGGGAGGGGACGAUUUCUUACGUUAAAAAUAAUUGUUAGAAGCUGCCACAUUGCUUUUCUUUGAUUCUACAAAGUGCUGUUACUUCCUGGAUUCAAUAAAUCAAGCAGAAAUAAAAGUGUAGUUUUUUCCUUUAAAUCCAGAUAAUGAUGUGAAGUGUAAGAGUAAUACCAAUACUAUGGUAGGAAAAAAAAAAAGGCAUUGUUAGACAUAAUAUUAACAUGUUAAAUAUUUACACAGGGUGGAAAUACAAACAAAAUAGAAACUAAUCAAGUGAGUUUAAUCUUUCAGUAUGAUCUGUCACAGUAGCUGAUGAGUUGGUCAUAAACAAACACUUCAAAAUCUUCCAUGUAAAAUAUAUAUAUAGUCUAAUACUGCUACAAUAAACAAUUAGGUUAUUAAUCAGAAAUAUCUGAGCUAUCACAACAGUAACACAUUCUGUCCAAUAACUUUGUUCAGUUUAACUGGUUAUAUUUUAAAGAAGCAGGCAUUUUCACUUUUCCAAUCUUCUAGCCAUGGAUUCUAUAAACACACUAUAAAAAUUAAAGAAAAUGCUUGGGUAACUUUUAAUGUUAGUCUUCUAACAUCUAGUCUGAGCAUUCUGCUCAACAGCUAUUCAACAGGUACCUUGAAAAGUUAUGAUAAUUCAGUACAGUAACACCAUGGGAGAUAUAUAUACAAAAUUGUACUGGUGGUUUUGUAAGUGGCAGCGAGUGGGAGGGACAAGAGCGAGGGGAGCUGCGUUGUUCCCCAUUCAGUCCUGCGACCUCCCACCCUUUUGUGAGGGUGUGCCAUUAUUUAUCCCCAAAACCUUGUCAGGCAGCUCCAAGAAUGAGGGUGCCUGCUAGGAACAAAUGCUCAUUGAUUCCCCAGCAUGCCUGGGGAAGGGCAACGCUCAUCUCUUGCCCUACAAUCUGUGCCAGUUGCAGCAGUGGCACUACAGGCUGAGCCUGCCAGACUGAAUGUCAGCUGCUCUGUAACCCACUCCAACAGCUGUGCAUUUGAUGCACACGGGACAGCAGAGAGACUUGUGAUUCCUUGGCAAAGGGGAAAUGGUUUCUGUCAGCAGACUCAAGGGGAAUGGCAGCGGCAGAGGAAGGGUGGCAGCAGCCAGACCAUUGCCUCCUCCCCAUCAGCUUUUUGUUCUCCUUGUCCUCCUGCUCUCUGUCUCUGUGUCACACUGCCCCUCUUCUCUGUUAGCAUUGGGAGCAUGGAGAUAAGCGGCCCUGGUGCUGUUGGUUAGGAGCAGGCCCCAUAGGAGAGCUCUGCCUGGGGCUGCGCACCCACAGGGACUGCACACUGUCCUCGUGGCCACCGCCAGCUCUCCCCCUCCCCAGCACCGCCCAGGACAGCCCUCCCUGCUUCCUCAGCAGCAGAAAAUGAACUGGGUGGGUGGCAGCCGGUGAGUGAAAUUCUUCAGGGCCACCAGAAAUGGCUCCAUGCCAAGCAGCAGAUCUCUGUGUUUCAGGCCUGGUGUCCCCUCAGAGACUCGCAGGGCCAUGGCAUGGCCUGGUGUUCCCUCAGAGACCCACAGGGCCAUGGCAUGGCCUGGUGUUCCCUCAGAGACCCACAGGGCCAUGGCGGGUGGCAGCCCCAGUGUCCCCUCACAGACUGGGCAUAUUUAAGAUUCACUGAAAUAUUAAAAUAAUCACUUAUGGGCUGAUAACAUUAAAAAAAAAAAAAAAAAAACAGUAUAAGAUUCAAUUUCUUUGGGCCCCAUACCUGUUGCCUAUCAGAAUUUUAAACCCUACUGUUUUUGUCAGCAUUUGAAAGUAGCUUUAGUAAACACAGUUUUACAUUCAUCCUGACACUGUAUGCAGAAUCUGACUAAAAUAAAGCCUUACCUAUCUGUAAGUCUCUACAGACAAGUGGAAUUUCUGAAAGCUGCUGUGGAGGGUUGACCUGGGCUGGUUGUCAGGUGCCUACCCAUGUCACUCUGCCACAGGGAGAAAAUGUGAAAGGAAAACCUUGCGGGUUGAGAUAACAGCAUUUUUAAGAAAGAAAAGGAAAGUGUUCAUGUGAAAGCAAAGGGGAAAAAAAACCCAAACCUAUUCUCUACUUCUUAUCCGUGGACAAUGUCUAGCCACUUGCUGGGAAGUAAGGCCUCAGCAUGAGCAGCAGUUGCUUUGGAAGAUUUGCCUUUGUACAAAUGUACACCCCUCCCUACACCCCCACAACCUUCCUCCUACAUUUUAUUGACAUCAUAAGGUAUGAAAUAACUCCUUGGUCAAUUUGGGUAAGAUCCUGUGACCAUGUUCCUUCCCCACCUCUCGCCCACCUGUAGUCUAUGGCUUUGGGUUGGAGCCAGCCCUGAUGCGGUGCCAGCACUGCUUAGUGGUAGCAAAAACAUCUGUGUGGUGUCACAGCUGCUCUGGUGACACAUGCAGAGCACAAAACCACGUGAUAUACAUCAUAUAUACAUGUAUAAUUUAUAUUUAUAUACUUUAUUUACAUAAUUAUAUAUAUAUUUAUAUGCACGUGUUCAGGAAGAGUGUGGGUCCUUUCCAACUCAGGCUAUUCCAUUCCAUGAGUGCCAAAGAUUUGGGGAUAGUAUUAAGAAAAAGAAAAAAAAAUGUAAUUCCAAGGAUCUACUCUGUAUUUCUAACUCUUAAAUAAAUGUGCAACUCUUACUUGACCCAAACAUUGCACCCAUAUUCAAUGUGUUCAUAACAGUGACCCAGAACUCCAAUUUUAAACAUGGUGUCCUGCAACCAAUUGAUUUAAAACUAUGUUUAACAAGUAAUGUAUGUAGUUUAAGGUAUAGCUGUUUCCUAUAUAGCACAAACAACAGCAGCUCAAUACAAGUUGUACUGACAAUCUCUUUAAUCUCUCUUAUUUUUUUUCCUAAUGUUCACAAUAUACCAUGAAGUCCUGAAAGGCAGAAAGUUGUGCGGUGCUCUUUUGCUUUCUUUGUUAACAUGGUUUUGUAACUGUGUUGCAGCAUGAAAUUGAAAAUUAGAAUAAAUAUUGACAAAGAUUUCUUGUGAUGUUUUAAGAAGUGAAGAAUUGAUGAAUUGUUUCAUUACAAGUUAAAUACCUCAAAGCUCUUUCUUCUGAAUGUUCAAUAUAUUUUAUAUCCCUGAGAUAGAAUGGGAUCAUAGCCUUACCUAAGUAAACCAGGACCAGCCAAAGUGACUUCAGCAGAGUUAUGUUGACUUUGCUUCCUCAAGGUUUGACCCAUUAUAGCCAAGCAGAGCAAUUUGCUUCCAAAAUUCUCACUAACAUUUACGUGAAGCUCAGGCCACGACUAAAGAUUACACCUUUAUUAUUAAAACAAUAACUAUUUGCAUCUUUCAGGAGCAGAGUCAUACUAAAGCAGGAAAGGAGAAAGCAAAAGGUAAAUGGUUCUAGCCACCAUGGAUUUUAUGUUAUGCAAAUGAUUGAGUUGUUUCACUGUGGAAAAUCUUUCAAAGCAAUUGGAGUGAGGCGCAAAACAUUGCAUAGCAUAACACUUGUUAUGUGUUUGCCUGACUGUACUUAACUUUUAGAACAGAAGACUUUUUCUAGGUUUACUACACUGAAUUCCAGCAGCAAGAGGAGGAAGGAGGAGAAGGCAUGAGUGCACCCAAUUUAAGUUUUACUGAGUUACUUCUGGUACUACAUUCUGCUUGCUGAAGCAACAGCUAUUUUCUAUAGACGGAAUUCUUUGAAAAGAAAAAACUUAAAUCAAAGAUGAAGCUUCUGGGAGCAUCAUCUCCUAAAAGUUCAGCAGUCAGCUUAGAUCUCCUUAAUCUCUAUGUUGUUAACCAGAUAUCAACCAAAAAAGACAGCACUGGCAACCUGAAAAAGCCAGUCCAUGUUGAUAUAACUGAAAAUGUAAAGGCACCCUUUAGAAGGAACAACCUAGAGCUUCCCAGGUCACCACUACGAAACCAAUUUACAGCACACUUAGAUGACAUCAAGAACAGGUUACAAGAGCAAGUACUGGACAGCAGAAGGCAGCAUCUCUUAGAAAAAGAAAAAUACCAACAUAAGUUAACACAAGUAACAGAACUAACUUCCGCUGAAUGUAUGGAACAUGAAGACAACACAGCAACAACUUUUAGCACCUGCCCAUUGUCCCCUUCUAUUUUUUGGUCCUCUAACUGUGAACAGCUUUCAGAAGAAAAUUUCAAUACAAAACUAAUGGGUGACCCUUGGGAACAGACUUAUGAAGAUAAGCUAAAGAAACAGUCAAGAACUAUUUCUGAGCAAGACCCUUGGAUUUCAAAUCACUCCAGCCAGUGUAUUUUCAGGAAGUCUGAUACAGAGCCUCAGGAACUACUUAAGCCAUUGCACAGGCUAGACUAUAUGAAUUCUGCCAGGAAAGAUCCAGUGAUAAUGGCCAGUAAAGAAUCAGAAAACACCAACGAAAUAAAAGAACUAUUGUUUGGUGUCAUGAAAGAAACUGCAGACCUGAGAGCUCCUCAAGAUGAAAGUGAUUGUCCCUUUCUGUCCCUGUUUGGAGAUGAAAGCCAACCAAUCUAUUAUAAAGCUUCCACAAAACAUUGUAAUCCUUUUGUUAACGAAAACACUGCUCCUGUUUUUCUCAUUGAUCUCGAUAAUAGAAAUCAAAUGACCAACAGAAAUUAUGCAUACGAUACUGAAGAGGCUCAUCCUGCAACUAAUGCAAGAAAAAGUUCUGUAGACAGACACCGUAGAGGCAUUUUCACAGUUCCAGAACAGGUUUUAUGUAAAAGCAACAAUGCACCGUUUGCAAACUACAAGAAAAACAGCCUUCAUAAAACCCACCUUCAGGACUGUCACGAGGGACAGCUCUACUUAAUACCACCCGGAAACGAAGAAAAACCUUUAACAUCUGAAAAAAGCGAAAAAUAUGCUAAUUAUCGUGAUCAGCAGAUUAAUUUAAAGGAGAACAUGCAGAACCAUUCAAGAAAUAAAAGAGAUGAGCCUGUGAAAGAAUCGAUCUGGAAACAGAAUCAGCUUUUUGAAUUGGAAGAGUUUGCAAAAGCACAGCAGAAAGACUACAACUUUGGUGCAAGUUCAAACCUUCACAGGAUGAAGCAGGCUCAUUUUUCAGAUGCAGAUUCACCACUCAGCAGCCCAUCUCCCAGUUACUCCCCAAGACAGACAGAAAGCUGCUUCAGCUCCAGCCCUGACAUGUCUGAAGAGGAAGAUGCAGCCAGAAAGAAGAAAUAUGUGGACAAGCAGCACCUCCAGACAGACAGUGCCAACCUGAUCUCAGCCUCUGACAGCACAGAGCCCCUCAGGGCCUCUCAUAAUGGCGUUGUGCCUCCCCAGCCCGGCAGCAGUCUGGCUAUGGAGGGAGACGGCCAUCUUCAGCAGAAACACUCCAUUUCACACAGCAGAGAGGAAAAGAAAGAGCACGCCGCUCCAUGUGAGGGCAGCUCGUUACCCCAAGCCCACAAGAGAGCACAAGCCACGCAGAGCGCAAGGCGCGAUGUUUGGGUGCAGACCGAGAGCUCUGGCCCGCAAGCAGGGAAAGUGGAUGCGGCCACCCAGUGUGACCCCAUGCGGGUGUGCAGCUGUGGCCGCUCCCUGACCUCUGCUCGCAGCCCGCUGGGGCUGCAUCCUCCCGGCACCGCUGGAGGGCACAAAACGCCUGAGCAUGAGGCACUGCCGCCCGCAGGCAGCUCAACGGGGACAGCGGCGCUCUCCUCUGAAGCCGGAUAUCUCACUUUGGCUGACAGAACAACGCUAGACAUUCUGAACUACAUUGAUACAAUGAAGGGGAGAGAAAAGCAGUGACCAGCUGAUACGGCGUGGAAAGAAACAGAAAGAAUGCUUCCAAAUUUUGUCCUGUUCCCAGUGGGUUUCAUUUAACCUAUUUUGAUUUUUCUAACCUGGCUUGAAAAGCUAUCUUUUGUAGUCUGUUCUUAUAAAUUAAUACUAACGAUGGCUCUCUGUCUAUCAGCUGCCAUCUCUGACUUUCUGUAGAUCUCAAACUGAUAACAUAGGAUCGAUUUUACAGUAGCUUAUUAAACAUGAACCUUAGGAGUUAGAUUUGCUUUCCCACCUGUAGGGUUCUGCAGUUUGACUUUGCUUCUCUUGAAAGUAGAGGAAAGGUUCCAUUUCACUUCAAGGCACAUCUGACGUGACUUAGUUCAGAACUGUUGUCAAAUUCUCACCCGUUUGAAGAGGCAAAGCAGUCCUUGGUUUGUACUAAAUAUCUAAAUGGAAAUAGGAAAAUGGAACAGAAAGCACACAGCAGCACACAUAAAAUCAAAUGUCAUUUUAAAAGAGCUCAUUUAUUCAUUUUUAACCAAAAAAAUCCCACCAAAACCAAACAAAAACGUCAGCAGAAAGGCUCGAGCUUCUUCCCACAGCACAUCUAUGGACUCAUUCUCUGGCUGUUAACACUGACAAAUAUUUUAUGUGUUUCCGUGUUUUGCCUGUGGGUUGAAAGUAUGAAACACUUUCCUCCUCACUGCAGUAUUUGUGUAAGGCUGCAAAUAACAACAAAUAAAUGCCGCUGAUAAUAUUC
This is a long non-coding RNA of Gallus gallus (chicken), 11286 nucleotides long. RefSeq annotates it as chromosome 12 open reading frame 40. Lineage: Eukaryota; Metazoa; Chordata; Aves; Galliformes; Phasianidae. The transcript has 13 exons. The record is from RefSeq and is a predicted model, not a curated record.